UGACAACAACUUAAAUGACUCCUAAAUGA
RNAcentral lists this non-coding RNA (29 nucleotides) under Rattus norvegicus (Norway rat). Lineage: Eukaryota; Metazoa; Chordata; Mammalia; Rodentia; Muridae. The record is from RNAcentral.